This 301-nucleotide ribosomal RNA is filed under the name uncultured bacterium. Its description in RNAcentral is "partial 16S ribosomal RNA". It matches the Rfam family "Bacterial small subunit ribosomal RNA", at positions 509 to 807 of the family's 1533-position model. The record is from RNAcentral.
CAGUAGCCGCGGUAACACGUAGGUGGCAAGCGUUGUCCGGAAUUAUUGGGCGUAAAGGGCUCGCAGGCGGUUUCUUAAGUCUGAUGUGAAAGCCCCCGGCUCAACCGGGGAGGGUCAUUGGAAACUGGGAAACUUGAGUGCAGAAGAGGAGAGUGGAAUUCCACGUGUAGCGGUGAAAUGCGUAGAGAUGUGGAGGAACACCAGUGGCGAAGGCGACUCUCUGGUCUGUAACUGACGCUGAGGAGCGAAAGCGUGGGGAGCGAACAGGAUUAGAUACCCGUGUAGUCCCUGUCUCUUAUAC